RNAcentral lists this ribosomal RNA (274 nucleotides) under uncultured bacterium. Its description in RNAcentral is "partial 16S ribosomal RNA". It matches the Rfam family "Bacterial small subunit ribosomal RNA", at positions 644 to 916 of the family's 1533-position model. The record is from RNAcentral.
GAGGUCGGGAGAGGGAUGCGGAAUUCCAGGUGUAGCGGUGAAAUGCGUAGAUAUCUGGAGGAACACCGGUGGCGAAGGCGGCAUCCUGGACCAACACUGACACUGAGGAGCGAAAGCCAGGGGAGCAAACGGGAUUAGAUACCCCGGUAGUCCUGGCCCUAAACGAUGAAUGCUUGGUGUGGCGGGUAUCGAUCCCUGCCGUGCCGAAGCUAACGCAUUAAGCAUUCCGCCUGGGGAGUACGGUCGCAGGGCUAAAACUCAAAGGAAUUGACGG